UACGGGGGGGGCAAGCGUUGUUCGGAAUUACUGGGCGUAAAGGGCGCGUAGGCGGCCUGCUAAGUCGGACGUGAAAUCCCCCGGCUCAACCGGGGAACUGCGUCCGAUACUGGUGGGCUCGAAUCCGGGAGAGGGAUGUGGAAUUCCAGGUGUAGCGGUGAAAUGCGUAGAUAUCUGGAGGAACACCGGUGGCGAAGGCGGCAUCCUGGACCGGUAUUGACGCUGAGGCGCGAAAGCCAGGGGAGCAAACAGG
This 253-nucleotide ribosomal RNA is filed under the name uncultured bacterium. RNAcentral describes it as "partial 16S ribosomal RNA". It matches the Rfam family "Bacterial small subunit ribosomal RNA", at positions 524 to 776 of the family's 1533-position model. The record is from RNAcentral.